Molecule: long non-coding RNA, 6936 nt
Organism: Onychomys torridus (southern grasshopper mouse)
Lineage: Eukaryota; Metazoa; Chordata; Mammalia; Rodentia; Cricetidae
Exons: 3
Source: RefSeq, a predicted model, not a curated record
CCCGCCGCCCGCUGCAGGUCGGCGGUUGGUCGCUCGGAAGCCGCCCCAGUUUCUGUUUUUCUCGGGACGUCCUGCCAGGUCGGGGCGCGAUGCCUCUGGACCCUCGGGUGGCCAUGGGGGACCUUGGCAGUCAGGACACCUUGGCCAUCUUCAACCGCCUGCGUCUGGCGCUUAGCCACCAGGUGUGUUUUGACUGCAGUGCCAAAAAUCACAACCAGACAAGCAUAAUCUAUGGGAUGUUUCUUUUCAUCAAUUGCUCAGGGUCACUCUGUGUUCACUAGAGAUUUAUCUGGUGUGUUGAUGGCCGCAUGGAGAUGAGAGACAGUUCCUUUGGUAGCGGGGAUGACAGUGCUGGUUCCUACGGGAAUAAGGAAAGCAGUCGAGACACCUAGACCACUGGUAAAAGCACAGGCUCUUCGGACAACUGUGAGCUGCAGGACCAGGAAGCCAGAACUACAGGCUGGAGUACCUUCUGUACCCUCUUUCCCAGCACUCACUUCACACCCAGAGUGGCUGACAGGUGGCCAUCAUUGUGUAGAGAGGCAGGGGGAGCCAGGACAUAAUUGGGCCAGCCUUGCAGGUCUGUUGCUAUCUGGGCUACAGUCAGGCAGGGCUUGGCGGAAGCCAUCAGCUGCUUUGAUGCUCUGUUCCAGCUCUCGGUAAAUGGCUUUGUAGCUAAAUCACAGAUAGAAAGCUCUAUAAAAGCAGGGCCCAGCCACCAUUCCUCACAGCCACAGCAGGCCCUGGAGCCUGCAUGAUAGUCUCUGCAGCCACACAGUUUCCCAGACACACGUCAGGGACGCCAUUCCCUGGUGUCACAUGUACAGAUGCAGACACCAUCCUCUAGAACCUGGGACCCACCAACAAAUAAGCUUUGUAUCAAACCAGGGGCACACUGAGACUUGCCCUGCAUCAAAUCCUGGGUGUGCUCUGUGGGUGCAACUGUGCAGUCCCACUGGGUCAGGUCAUAUUGAGGAAGAAGCCUUUAGAGGAGAAUGUCAGAGUGCCUCCUCCUCCCAUUUCUCUCAGGAGAGCUGGACGUUUUCCUCCCUAUGUGAAAGGUAGUAUGGGAGGAGGCCAGAACUACAAGACCCAGUCCGGCCUCCUACGACCAAGAACACGGGUCUAGGCUGGACCUGAUAGAUCACUUAUUGUCCACAUAGGUGGUUCUUCUCCUUUUCUGAGCCUCAGUUUCCUUCUCUGCUGAGUGGGUAUAAUACCUAUUCUAAGGAUUGAAUUGUGUUCUCCAAAUACAAUAGCUGAAGUCCUAACCUCAGGUUGUGACCUUUUCUGAAAACAGGGUCUUUUAGAGGUGAACAGCUUAAAACAGGUUCAGUAAAAUGGCCCCAGUGCGGCAGGGCUGCUGUCCUUAGAAAGAAGGAGAAAUCUACCCUAGAUACUCAGGGAAAGAUGGCCAGAGGCCUGGAGAGAAGUGGUCAGAUGUCGGGAAAGCUGAGGACUGUGGCAGACCCACAAGCUGGAAGAGGCAGAAGGACCUGCCUGGAGCCUUCAGUGGGGAGUGUGACGACACCGAGGUUUCUGACUUCUGUCUUCUAGAACUGAGGGAUGAGCGUCCCUCGGUGUCUGCCAUGCCACCCAGAUUCUGUCACAGCAGCCCUAGGAGCCACUGCACCAUGUACCCCAGAGGUGACUUGGAACAUAGAGAUUCAGGCCUUUGCCAGAGCCAAGUACAAACAGUGGAAGGUACCUCAUACACAGAAGAGCAGGACACAGUCCCAGCCCUGUCCCUGUCCCUGUCCCCUAAAAGCUGUGUAGCAGCUCAGUUUCCUCAACAGGAAGAUGGGGACAAUUCGGCCUACUUUCCAGGCUGUCACAGAGAUGAAAUGACAGCAGAGCCCCUGUGCAAUGACUGCUUUCCAUCUUUUUAGAAGAGACAAAAGGAAUGUCAUUUUCUACUGACAACAAGCUUUGACCUGACAUUCAUUUCUCAACGCUUCUGCCAGAAGGAUGGAGGAAGUGGAUUUCUGUCUCUGUCCCGUUAUCUGGCUCUCUCCUGAUGCAGGCACGCUGUGUCACGAGUCAAACUGGAGAUGGUCUUGCUGCCUGGCCUCCCCAGGACUACAGCCACUAAGAUGUCAACGGUCAAGCUGGCAGCAGGGAAGAGAGGACCUCUACAAGGGACUGUCCUUGGGGGCAGAAGACACGAGGCCUGGCCAGUGGUGCACCGGUGCAGGUGGAUUUCCAGAAUGCCGGGUCUGGCUGGUCCUGGCUGUGGCACCAGAUCAGACAGCUUCCCUUCCUGUCCAGACCCCUUUGGAGCUGGCAGCAUGGAGCCUUCCAUGGCCCUCUUGGGCCUCCGGAAUGUGGUGUGCAAAGCCCUGUGGGUGAGCGCCCCACCCCCAGCCUCCCUGUGACUCACACUGAUGAGUUCUCUGCCUCAGGGAAGCUUACCUAGCCACAUUGGACAGGUCCAGGUGCUUCUGAACCUCCAGCAGAACCUCCCGGAAGAAGCGCAGACGCUUCUCUUCAAACUGCUGGCACUGCUCGAACACCUGCUCCAUGUUCUCCAUGUACUGGGGCGUGGUCUGGUCAAGUUCCUUCAGGGCCUUCUCAUACUUGUCCUUGGUCUGUGUAAAAAUUGCCACAGACAGAGCUUUGUCUCCAGCCCACCUCUGUGCAACCCACGUGCCCCACUCUUCUCAGGCCUCCCAGAUCCCAAAUGUGGGAGCAGAAGUUCUGGAGCCUGGCAUUCUCCAAGUCCAGUCCAGCUCCUAUGCUUCUCCAUGGCAAGUCACUCUAUGCCUGCUCUGCCUCUCCCCGGAGCAAGGACCACGCAGGUAGAUACAGGUGAGAGAUGGUGACACUGACACUCAGUGUCCUGGAUCCCAAGUAUACAUCUACGUUGGUGGCAUAGUUGUGAGCACAGCUGCCUUCUUUGUUCACUGCAUGCCUGUGUUCAUUUUGUCAGUGGGGAGGGCUGUGCUGUGCACCACUCUAGCCUAGAUCUGGCCCCAGCAGCUGUGGUACCUUAGAGACAAGGUCAUUGUCCUAAGGACAAAUGGUCCUGAGCCUCACUUUCAUUAUCAGAAAAUGAGAAUACUUCCUGCUUCAUAGUAUUUUGAGACUUAAGCAACCCACACAAAGCUACAUGGAUUAGACAUUCCUAGUCUGUCCAUGCAGCCUCUUUGUCAAGGAUAUCUGUAGGAAGGGCAAUAAGGUAAAAGGAUAGAUUAAGAGCAGUUUGGUCCUGCUUAAACUGGUCUCUGGACAGAAUGUAUUAAAUCCCUAGGACAUGAUGAAAGUGAACACUUGACAGGUGUGCUCAGGCUUAGAGACCACAUUUACCCAGGCUUGCGUACCCUACCCUCCAUGCCAUGCUAAUCUAUUGCUUUUGUGAUUCCAGUUUUGUUUGGUGACAGGAACUUCCUGGGCGUAGGGGCAGCUGGAUUCUGGGAAUACCUUUUUAUUGCAGAGCUUUCCAUACGUGUCUCUAACAACUGAAGGGUGUUCAAGGAUGCACAGGAGAAGUCCAUGGUACUCUUCCUGAAGCAGGUACUAUGGUAGUGCUCAGCACACCUCCCCAGCCUCUGAUUAACCUUCAGAGCGUCCAUUAGCACAUGGCCGCUUCAGUGUUCCAUCUGCAGCCUCAGGUGGAGGUACGAUUCACUCUUCCUUGGCCUCUGGAGCUGGCAAGCCUUUCCUGUUUGUACGUCAUACGGUGCACUCUGCUGCUUCUGCCUACAAGUAGAGUGAGUGCUAAUGACCGCAUUGCUCCAAGUGGCCUUCAUGCAGAAGACUCCCGUUUUCAGAUUCUUUUCUGAGGACUCUGGGCUUUCUGAAACCUCGACACCACUUCAUUUCCUCAAAACCUCCCAUGGCUGUGUUAAAAGCUGUUAUUGCUGUCGUGUGUGUGUGUGUGUGUGUGUGUGUGUGUGUGUGUGUGUGUGUAUACACGAUCAAGAUGAAGAAGCAGGUACAAACUAUAGAUAAACUGUCACUACAAGUAGUCAUCAGAAAAGAAUCUCACUUAGUCACUCUUGAUGGCUAAUUUCCUGAUUUAUACUAUACUACUGUGUUUGAAUAGUUUCCUUGCUACUUAAAAAGCUAAGGACCUCACUCUACAGGUACUUGCCAAGUAACUGUCCACCUGCCAGACACUCCUGGGAGUGGCUAGCCUGUCCCUUGUUGCUUUACAGGCCAGUGUAGCCUCCCAUGCUCACCCUGUGUUGCCAGACAGCAGCAAGCUUCCCUGCUUUUGUUACCAACAGAGACAAAUCAGCAGCCUGAGAUUCUCUGUGCAGAACUCCAGGCCAGGUACUGACAGACCAGCUGGCAGGUUAGAGAGUGAUGCCAGCUAGCAAAAUGCAGGGCUAAGCGUGCCUGACAUCUCAUGUUCACUUAGGGGACAGGACAGCUUCCCAUAGUUGGUGACAUUGAACUAAUGGCUGCUUUCAUAUCAUCACAUGAAAGAAUAUUACUCUCCAUUGUUCUUGCUUCCUGAGCGCAUGCUUAUGUCUCAGCCUCUGAAUGUUGCCUAUUCCCUAGCAAGUAGGAAUAACUGUCCCCAUUUCACAGAUGAGGAAACUGAAGCUGAAGUCAGUCACUGCAUCUGCCAGAGUCCUACAGCUCAGUAGCUGUGCUGGAGCUGAAAGUAGCUUUGUUCAGUUCCUGGUAGAGACAGUUUCGAUAGCAAAACCUGAUUCUUACCUGCUUUGUCGAGAGUAUAUUGAGUUUUGACUGCCUUUUUCCACAUUUAAGUUAGGAAUUUUUAAAAAACGAGAAUACCAUUGGCUAAUUUAGAAUGAAAAUCAAAAUACUCAGUGUUUCAUCCUUUGAGCUGUGGACUUUCCAGGGUACAGGCAUUAACACUGAAGGUCUCCCAGGAAAGAAAAGUGGGUCUGUUCUCAUCUUUGCCCUCUUAGGUUCUUCACAGUAUUAGCCAACAGCUUUUGUUUGUUUGUUUGCCUGGCUGGCUGUCCAGUCUGUCUCUCUGCUUUGUCCUCUAUCGGAGGCAGCAGCAAUGCAGAACUGCUAGCAAGAAGAAACCUACACUUCGACAUUUUUUACUUUUAUCUGCAUUGAGCAAAAGACCCCUCAACCAUUUGCUGACAUUUUUGAUGACCACAAGGGGAUUCUUAGAGUGCUAAAGAAGAGGAGGACCAGCCCUGGUGAUAGUUGGUGCAAAUUUGCCUUGUGGCUGCCUGAACCUGCCUGAACCUGAGCUUUGAUUUCAGCCAGUAGGCUCUUCUUUGACAGUCUACAGUGUGUACCCCUGCUCACCAGAAUGCAACCUCCUUUGCUCAUCCGUCCUGUAUUCUGUAGUGUUCACCAGCUGUCUCUGGCUUAAUCUCCCCUUUGGACUGCUGCUUGGCUGCAGCACUAACAAUCUAUAGGCUUUGUCUUUUUGUUCUGCUGACUCUAUUCCAGUAGACUCUGGCUUCUGAAAUUUUCGUCUGAACUGGUCUAGUGGCUCAUGCCUGCAAUCCUAGCACUUAGGAGGUAGAAGUAGCAUUGCCAGGUUGAGGCCAACCCAAGCUACAUAGUGAGUUCCAGACCAGCUUGGGCUACAAAGUGAUACCUGUCUGCAAAAGUAUAAAGAAGAAAAGGGAAGGGAGACGUCAGGUAGGACUAACCACUCGCACCGCAUGUGCUCUGUUCAUGUCCAACGCCCUCUCACACUUGGUUUUGGCUUCUAAUAUCUGAUUUGGUGUGGCUUUGUUUUGUGAGCACCUAUAAUUCCAGUUCUCACACCCUGUCUGCAGGUCCCAUCCUAGCCCUUCCAGGGAUGCCAUGAAAAGCAGCUCUGAGAGCCCUGAGGUGCUAGUUGCUUCUCAUGUUCACAUGUUACUGCUUUUUUGGUCUCCUGGUUAAAGGGUAGGCCUGGGAAUCACCCCAUGGGUGUCUGGGUGCUGACAUUCAUUUAGACCCAAGAGGUUCAAGAAAAAGAACUUACUGCAAUGCCCGACAUCAGUAUAACUUAGAUUAGAUGGCCAGUUGGCUGGACAAUGGGUCUGCAUUUUCUUGAAGGGAGGAAAAGAGACUUCUUUACCCACUCCUUUAUGAAAUCAUACCAGGACCCUCCUCUGACAAACCCCUAGGCCUACAGACCUUGUGAUCCAGACAGCUGAGGGAAGACACAAAGUUUCAGGGAGGAUGACCUCAGACCCUGGGCAGCAGGGAGAAAAGAUAGACAAAAGUCAGUACCUUGUGGCAGCCACCUCAGAGUAAUUCAAAAUUCAAUAAUAUGCCCCAAAAUUGAUCUAACAAGAACCAAGGCACCUGACUGAGAGCCAGUGCAUAUUUGGCCAAAAGGAAAGGUGUUAGGAAAUGACUGCUUUAUAAAGGGCUAGCCAGACAGCAGCUCAAGUGCAGCCAUGGUUAGUCCCUGGGUCAAGGAAGCAUUAUCAGUGGAACUUUGUGUGACACUUGUGGCCAGUUAUCCCAUACCUUGUGGUUUUAGGGUUUGGGUAUAAAAUGUCCCCCCAAAGCUCUGAUAGGUGGAAGGUUCCUCAGCUAGUGGUACUGUUGGGGAAUGAUUGGAUCGUAAGAGUGAUGACAUCAGUGGAUUAGUCUGUUAAUUAUUUCAUAUUUGAAUGGGCAGUUAGACCAUGGGGCCUGUUUGCACUAAGUGGGACACUGGAGGAGUACCCUGGAAGGGGUGUAUCUUAACCCAGUCUCCUUUCUAUCAUGAGGUAAGCAGUCUGCUUUGCCAAGUGUUCCAUGAUGUUCAGGCCUACAGUGAUGAGGCCAAAGAAACAUGGACUGAAGCCAUGAGCCAAAAUAAGUCUAUUCACUUCAGUUGUAUCAAGUAUUUGGGCACAACAGUAGAUACUAACACAUAUGGCUAAUCUUUUUCUAUCUAUAUGAAUGUAAAGGUGUAUAUUAUAUAUCUACAUGUAUACUGUAUGUUUACAUAUUAUGUUGUGUACAUUGUACCAAACUGAGUUAGAAAUAAACCCUUGUUUAUCAAAGAAA